CUGUUUGUUUUAUACUGUUCAAUUCAAUCCAAAAAAUGUUUCAGCAUUUUCAUAAAUGUAUGCAUUUCCUGCACUCAUUUGAGGUCAUUUCCACACUGCCACGUAGGGCUGCACGAUAUGGGCAAACAAUUUAGGCCUUAUUUUUAACAACAUUUUGCAAUUGUACUCACUUGGGUGAACUGUUGGAAUCAUCAAAAUAUAAUGAUUAUUCUAAUUCUAUAGUUAGAAUGUAAUAAUGGGCACUUUGAAUACAGUGUUUGACAUGACAAUGAAUGAAAAUGCCAGGAGGAGUUUUGACAUUGUAUGAACCAAAGUGUUGUGUUUCCUAGGGGACCCCAUAAUAUUUGUAUGAUGGAGAGGCAGGGAGUCAGGAAGAAGGUGCAGUUGUGUCUGUCCUUACAGAAUGCUGACACCAAUAUUUGAAGCAUCAGGGAGGUUUUUGUUUUGUUGGUGACGUCCGGCCCGGGUGCCGCUGCUGUAGGAACCGGGGGUGCCUCAGCUGGCUCGUUGGGCUUCCACGCCUUAGCUGGCUCGAGAGGUUUCCUUGCCUCGGUUGGCAUCGGCAGGCGCCCAUCCCACGUCAUGCCUCAGCCGGCUCGUCAGGCUCCUACACCUCAGCGGGAUCGUCAGGCUCGCACGGCUCAACCGGCUCGUCAAGCUCCCACGCCUCAGCCGGCUCGUCGGGCUCCCACGCCUCAGCCGACUCGUCGGUUUCCCACGCCUCAGCCGGCUCGUCGGUCUCCCACGCCUCAGCCGGCUUGUCAGGCUCCCACGCCGCAGCCGGCUCGUCGAACUUCUACACCUCAGCCGGGUUGUCCAGCGCCAUGCCUCGGCCGACCCAUCAGGCUCGCCCAGGUGUGACGCCGGUUGUCGCCCCUAGAGGGGGGGUACUGUCACGCCUGCUCCCGCUCCUCCUCUCUGGCACUCGAAGGCGCCAGGCUGCCCAUAAUUACGCACACCUGUAACCAUCAUUACGUGCAUCAGCGCUCGCUGGACUCACCUGGACUCCAUUACCUUGUUGAUUGCCCGUCCUAUAUCUGUUCCUCUGUUAGAUCCCUGUGUCAGCAUUAUUGUCAUUUUUUUGUUUUCCCCUGUCCAGACGCUGUCUGUAUUCUGUUCCUGUCCGUGUUUCAUUAAAUGGUUACUCCCCA
This is a long non-coding RNA of Salvelinus namaycush (lake trout), 1151 nucleotides long. RefSeq lists it as uncharacterized. The transcript has 2 exons. Lineage: Eukaryota; Metazoa; Chordata; Actinopteri; Salmoniformes; Salmonidae. The record is from RefSeq and is a predicted model, not a curated record.